This 496-nucleotide ribosomal RNA is filed under the name uncultured bacterium. RNAcentral describes it as "partial 16S ribosomal RNA". It matches the Rfam family "Bacterial small subunit ribosomal RNA", at positions 28 to 506 of the family's 1533-position model. The record is from RNAcentral.
GAUGAACGCUGGCGGCGUGCCUAAUACAUGCAAGUCGAGCGAACAGACGAGGAGCUUGCUCCUCUGACGUUAGCGGCGGACGGGUGAGUAACACGUGGAUAACCUACCUAUAAGACUGGGAUAACUUCGGGAAACCGGAGCUAAUACCGGAUAAUAUAUUGAACCGCAUGGUUCAAUAGUGAAAGACGGUUUUGCUGUCACUUAUAGAUGGAUCCGCGCCGCAUUAGCUAGUUGGUAAGGUAACGGCUUACCAAGGCAACGAUGCGUAGCCGACCUGAGAGGGUAAUCGGCCACACUGGAACUGAGACACGGUCCGGACUCCUACGGGAGGCAGCAGUAGGGAAUCUGCCGCAAGGGGCGAAAGCUUGACGGAGCAACGCCGCGGGAGUGAUGAAGGUCUUCGGAUCGUAAAACUCUGUUAUUAGGGAAGAACAAAUGUGUAAGUAACUAUGCACGUCUUGACGGUACCUAAGCAGAAAGCCACGGCUAACUACGU